ACGGAUCGCAUUAUAAUUAUCAUUAUUUGAUGAUUGGCGAUAGAUCAUUCAAGUUUCUGACCUAUCAGCUUUCGACGGUAGUGUAUUGGACUACCGUGGCAGUGACGGGUAACGGGGAAUUAGGGUUCGAUUCCGGAGAGGGAGCCUGAGAAACGGCUACCACAUCUAAGGAAGGCAGCAGGCGCGCAAAUUACCCAAUCCUGACUCAGGGAGGUAGUGACAAGAAAUAACAACACUGGAAAUUUGAUUUCUAGUGAUUGGAAUGAUGGGAAUCCAAACCCCUUUCAGAGUAACAAUUGGAGGGCAAGUCUGGUGCCAGCAGCCGCGGUAAUUCCAGCUCCAAUAGCGUAUAUUAAAGUUGUUGCAGUUAAAAAGCUCGUAGUUGGAUGUCUGUUGGAAGCAAUCAUCAGUCCGCCCUAUUUGAUUAGGGUGUGAAUAUGAUGAAUUCCGGCAUAAUUGUCUCCCUAUUGUUAAUAUUCUGAUUGUUAGAUUCAUUUCUAACAAUAAUACGAUUAUUAAUAAUAAGGGGGAAAUGUUACUUUGAGAAAAUUAGAGUGUUUGAAGCAGGCUUUUGUUGCCUUGAAUACUGCAGCAUGGAAUAACAAUAUAGGAUUUCGGUUCUAUUUUGUUGGUUCUUUUUUUAGGACUGAAAUAAUGAUUAAUAGGGACAGUUGGGGGCAUUCGUAUUUAACUGUCAGAGGUGAAAUUCUUAGAUUUGUUAAAGACGAACUACUGCGAAAGCAUUUGCCAAAGAUGUUUUCAUUAAUCAAGAACGAAAGUUAGGGGCUCGAAGACGAUCAGAUACCGUCGUAGUCUUAACCAUAAACUAUGCCGACUAGAGAUAGGAAAUUGUCAUUUUACUUGACUUCUCCUGCACU
This 878-nucleotide ribosomal RNA is filed under the name Sarcocystis miescheriana. RNAcentral describes it as "SSU rRNA". It matches the Rfam family "Eukaryotic small subunit ribosomal RNA", at positions 253 to 1087 of the family's 1831-position model. The record is from RNAcentral. Lineage: Eukaryota; Apicomplexa; Conoidasida; Eucoccidiorida; Sarcocystidae.